GACGAACCGUGCGAACGUUGUUCGGAAUCACUGGGCGUAAAGCGCGUGUAGGCGGCCCGAUAAGUCCGCUGUGAAAGUCCAGGGCUCAACCCUGGGAUGCCGGUGGAUACUGUCGGGCUCGAGUCCGGAAGAGGCGAGUGGAAUUCCUGGUGUAGCGGUGAAAUGCGCAGAUAUCAGGAGGAACACCAAUGGCGAAGGCAGCUCGCUGGGACGUGACUGACGCUGAGACGCGAAAGCGUGGGGAGCAAACAGG
RNAcentral lists this ribosomal RNA (253 nucleotides) under uncultured bacterium. RNAcentral's name for it is "partial 16S ribosomal RNA". It matches the Rfam family "Bacterial small subunit ribosomal RNA", at positions 524 to 776 of the family's 1533-position model. The record is from RNAcentral.